GAGGGAGUAUAAUCACUAAUGAAUUACAACCCUUUGGGGAGCUGAAGAAUUCCAGACAGACUUGAACUGGACAGCUUAGUCCAUUAGCAUCCCUGGCAUUGAGUGGCUUGAGGGCACUCGCAGCGCAAAGUACAUUUGCUUUAUGUUCAGAACCAAGGCUGCAGUGAUGUUGUGAGUGAUGCAACAACAGAUUGGGAAACUGAGGACCAAACAUAUGAAGUCAGC
Molecule: non-coding RNA, 225 nt
Organism: Phascolarctos cinereus (koala)
Lineage: Eukaryota; Metazoa; Chordata; Mammalia; Diprotodontia; Phascolarctidae
Source: RefSeq, a predicted model, not a curated record